This 159-nucleotide small nuclear RNA is filed under the name Escovopsis weberi. Lineage: Eukaryota; Fungi; Ascomycota; Sordariomycetes; Hypocreales; Hypocreaceae. The record is from RNAcentral.
GCCUUCGGGCAUUUGGUCAAUUUUGAAACGAUACAGAGAAGAUGUAAGCAUCCACCUCCCGAGGUCGCUCGUUCGAAUCCGCAUACUAACAGUCUUUACAGUAGCAUGGCCCCUGCACUAAGGAUGACACGCUCAAUCAAAGAGAAGCUACAAAUUUUU